Molecule: long non-coding RNA, 100 nt
Organism: Haliotis rubra (blacklip abalone)
Lineage: Eukaryota; Metazoa; Mollusca; Gastropoda; Lepetellida; Haliotidae
Exons: 3
Source: RefSeq, a predicted model, not a curated record
CUGUGAUCUUAGCUAUGAAUUAGUUAUACUUGGACAUGGAACUCGUCUUCAUCUGUGUUUCUACAGAACAGGCAGAGCGCUGCAUCAGGGUCAAGGUUUU